UUCCGGUUGAUCCUGCCGGACCCCACUGCUAUCGGGAUAGGACUAAGACAUGCUAGUCAAGCGCUUUCUAGCUAAUGUGAGAGCGCGGCGUACAGCUCAGUAACACGUGGCCCAACCUGCCCUUGGGACGGGAACACCCCCGGGAAACUGGGGUUAAUUCCCGAUAGGUGAAGAAGUCUGGAAUGAUUCUUCGCUCAAAAGACGUUUAUGUCAUGCUCAUAUUCGUCGCCCAGGGAUGGGGCCGCGACCGAUCAGGUAGUUGGUGAGGCAAUGGCUCACCAAGCCUUUUACCGGUGCGGGCCGUGAGAGCGGGGGCCCGGAGAUGGGCACUGAGACAAGGGCCCAGGCCCCACGGGGCGCAGCAGUCGCGAAAAUUUUGCAAUACACGAAAGUGUGACAGAGCUAUCCCGAGUGCCAUCCGCUGAGGAAGGCUUUUACCCAGUAUAAAUAGCUGGGAGAAUAAGGAGAGGGCAAGUCUGGUGUCAGCCGCCGCGGUAAUACCAGCUCUCCGAGUAGUGUGGACGUUUAUUGGGCCUAAAGCAUCCGUAGCUUGCUAGAUAAGUCCUCUGUUAAAUCCACCGAUUCAAUCGUUGGAUUGCGGGGGAUACUGUUUGGCUAGGGGACGGGAGAGGUCGACGGUAUUUCCGGGGUAGGGGUGAAAUCCUAUAAUCCUGGGAGGACCACCAGUGGCGAAGGCUGUUGACUAGAACGCGCCCGACGGUGAGGGAUGAAAGCUGGGGGAGCGAACCGGAUUAGAUACCCGGGUAGUCCCAGCUGUAAACGAUGCAGGCUAGGUGUUUGGGCGGCCACGAGCCGCCCUAGUGCCGCAGGGAAGCUGUUAAGCCUGCCGCCUGGGGAGUACGGCCGCAAGGCUGAAACUUAAAGGAAUUGGCGGGGGAGCACCACAAGGGGUGAAGCUUGCGGUUUAAUUGGAGUCAACGCCGGG
RNAcentral lists this ribosomal RNA (946 nucleotides) under uncultured archaeon. RNAcentral describes it as "bacterial SSU rRNA". It matches the Rfam family "Archaeal small subunit ribosomal RNA", at positions 1 to 922 of the family's 1478-position model. The record is from RNAcentral.